RNAcentral lists this transfer RNA (76 nucleotides) under Crocinitomicaceae bacterium. RNAcentral's name for it is "tRNA-Trp". It matches the Rfam family "tRNA". From Rfam's summary of the family: Transfer RNA (tRNA) molecules are approximately 80 nucleotides in length. Lineage: Bacteria; Pseudomonadati; Bacteroidota; Flavobacteriia; Flavobacteriales; Crocinitomicaceae. The record is from RNAcentral.
ACGGGUGUAGCUCAGCUGGUAGAGUAGUGGUCUCCAAAACCAUUUGUCGUGGGUUCGAAUCCUACCACCCGUGCAA